Molecule: ribosomal RNA, 253 nt
Filed under: uncultured bacterium
Lineage: Bacteria
Description: partial 16S ribosomal RNA
Rfam family: Bacterial small subunit ribosomal RNA
Source: RNAcentral
UACGAAGGGUGCAAGCGUUACUCGGAAUUACUGGGCGUAAAGCGCGCGUAGGCGGUCUUUUAAGUCAGAGGUGAAAGCCCAGUGCUCAACACUGGAACUGCCUUUGAAACUGGAAGACUUGAAUCAUGGAGAGGUCAGUGGAAUUCCGAGUGUAGAGGUGAAAUUCGUAGAUAUUCGGAAGAACACCAGUGGCGAAGGCGACUGACUGGACAUGUAUUGACGCUGAGGUGCGAAAGCGUGGGGAGCAAACAGG